UGCAAGGUAAUCCUUUUUCUGUUACUGGCAACACUGGCACCCUAGGAGUCUUCACGCAUCUCCCUAGCAAUGGAGAAGAAAAUUAGUAAAAAAAAAGCUUUUCCACAUGCCCUCCACUGCACUACUUCUAGGAAUCGAGUAAACAAGUAUCUCAACCCUAUAAUAAUAGCUGUGAUUUCUCAAAAUACAUAAAUACUUUCUAUACCCCAAACUGUUGUUUUAAUAAAUACAUAGGCAUAUUUCCGCAACACAGUCUGGAACUACGCA
This 267-nucleotide long non-coding RNA is filed under the name Hordeum vulgare. RNAcentral's name for it is "long non-coding RNA (HVUL_LNC016168)". Lineage: Eukaryota; Viridiplantae; Streptophyta; Magnoliopsida; Poales; Poaceae. The record is from RNAcentral.